UACGUAGGGGGCAAGCGUUAUCCGGAUUUACUGGGUGUAAAGGGAGCGUAGACGGCAGGGCAAGUCUGGAGUGAAAGGCAGGGGCCCAACCCCCUGGACUGCUCUGGAAACUGUCCGGCUGGAGUGCAGGAGAGGUAAGUGGAAUUCCUAGUGUAGCGGUGAAAUGCGUAGAUAUUAGGAGGAACACCAGUGGCGAAGGCGGCUUACUGGACUGUAACUGACGUUGAGGCUCGAAAGCGUGGGGAGCAAACAGG
This 254-nucleotide ribosomal RNA is filed under the name uncultured bacterium. Its description in RNAcentral is "partial 16S ribosomal RNA". It matches the Rfam family "Bacterial small subunit ribosomal RNA", at positions 524 to 776 of the family's 1533-position model. The record is from RNAcentral.